Molecule: ribosomal RNA, 253 nt
Filed under: uncultured bacterium
Lineage: Bacteria
Description: partial 16S ribosomal RNA
Rfam family: Bacterial small subunit ribosomal RNA
Source: RNAcentral
UACAGAGGGUGCGAGCGUUGUUCGGAAUUAUUGGGCGUAAAGCGCUUGUAGGCGGCCUGUCAAGUCGCGUGUGAAAUCCCCUGGCUCAACCAGGGAAGUGCGCGCGAAACUGCCGGGCUUGAGGUCGGAAGGGGAAAGUGGAAUUCCGGGUGUAGUGGUGGAAUACGUAGAUAUCCGGAGGAACACCAGCGGCGAAGGCGGCUUUCUGGUCCGAUACUGACGCUGAGGUGCGAAAGCGUGGGGAGCGAUCCGG